AGAGUUUGAUCCUGGCUCAGGAUGAACGCUGUCGGCGUGCUUAACACAUGCAAGUCGAACGGGCUCAUAUUGAAACCUAGUGAUUUAUGAGUUAGUGGCGGACGGGUGAGUAACGCGUGGAAAACCUGCCGUAUACUGGGGGAUAACACUUAGAAAUAGGUGCUAAUACCGCAUAAGCGCACAGCUUCGCAUGAAGUGGUGUGAAAAACUCUGGUGGUAUACGAUGGUUCCGCGUCUGAUUAGCUUGUUGGUGGGGUAAUGGCUCACCAAGGCGACGAUCAGUAGCCGGCCUGAGAGGGUGAACGGCCACAUUGGGACUGAGACACGGCCCAAACUCCUACGGGAGGCAGCAGUGGGGAAUAUUGCACAAUGGGGGAAACCCUGAUGCAGCGACGCCGCGUGAGUGAAGAAGUAUUUCGGUAUGUAAAGCUCUAUCAGCAGGGAAGAAAUAGCGACCUUUGGGUCGCCAGACGGUACCUGAUUAAGAAGCCCCGGCUAACUACGUGCCAGCAGCCGCGGUAAUACGUAGGGGGCAAGCGUUAUCCGGAUUUACUGGGUGUAAAGGGAGCGUAGACGGCAGCACAAGUCUGAAGUGAAAUGCCGGGGCUUAACCCCGGAACUGCUUUGGAAACUGUGCAGCUAGAGUGCAGGAGAGGUAAGUGGAAUUCCUAGUGUAGCGGUGAAAUGCGUAGAUAUUAGGAGGAACACCAGUGGCGAAGGCGGCUUACUGGACUGUAACUGACGUUGAGGCUCGAAAGCGUGGGGAGCAAACAGGAUUAGAUACCCUGGUAGUCCACGCUGUAAAC
Molecule: ribosomal RNA, 806 nt
Filed under: uncultured bacterium
Lineage: Bacteria
Description: bacterial SSU rRNA
Rfam family: Bacterial small subunit ribosomal RNA
Source: RNAcentral